GCACUCGUAGCUCAAUUGGAUAGAGCAUUGGUCUACGGAACCAAAGGUUACAGGUUCGAGUCCUGUCGAGUGCG
Molecule: transfer RNA, 74 nt
Filed under: Phycisphaerae bacterium
Lineage: Bacteria; Pseudomonadati; Planctomycetota; Phycisphaerae
Also listed under: 2 other names
Description: tRNA-Arg
Rfam family: tRNA
About the family: Transfer RNA (tRNA) molecules are approximately 80 nucleotides in length. Their secondary structure includes four short double-helical elements and three loops (D, anti-codon, and T loops). Further hydrogen bonds mediate the characteristic L-shaped molecular structure. tRNAs have two regions of fundamental functional importance: the anti-codon, which is responsible for specific mRNA codon recognition, and the 3' end, to which the tRNAs corresponding amino acid is attached (by aminoacyl-tRNA synthetases). tRNAs cope with the degeneracy of the genetic code in two manners: having more than one tRNA (with a specific anti-codon) for a particular amino acid; and 'wobble' base-pairing, i.e. permitting non-standard base-pairing at the 3rd anti-codon position.
Source: RNAcentral